CUCACUUCUAUCGUUCUUUUCGCCUACGUCGGCGCCGCAGUAGCGACUAAGGGACCUGUUCCUUUCAGCUAUUGUGCGAAUGCCGCUACAGCCGAGGUCUUGACAGCGGACAACUGUACAGCAAUCACUUGCAACGCAAAGAGGGGUACUGUAAUCGAGUCAUACUUUGAAAUAAUGUCACAUCGGGACACUGGCAAGAUAAAAUUAGACACUCAAGUCGAUGUUCGCGGAGCUAAUUUUGCGGUCCCGGGUGCGAAGACUGACGUGUGCAAGACCAUUGUUCAGUGUCCCGUAAAGAAAGGACAAAAGAUUUCUGGACUUUACCAUAUUCCCGUGCCUUCGUACACCCCCAUCAUGAAUACCGUACUCACAGUAAGGGCUACUGAAGACGGGGAAGACCUAUUCUGCAUCAAAGUUCCAGUUAAAAUCUGGCCGUG
Long non-coding RNA from Ornithodoros turicata, 437 nucleotides. RefSeq lists it as uncharacterized. Lineage: Eukaryota; Metazoa; Arthropoda; Arachnida; Ixodida; Argasidae. The record is from RefSeq and is a predicted model, not a curated record. The transcript has 4 exons.